RNAcentral lists this ribosomal RNA (695 nucleotides) under Halomonas sediminicola. RNAcentral's name for it is "bacterial SSU rRNA". It matches the Rfam family "Bacterial small subunit ribosomal RNA", at positions 725 to 1420 of the family's 1533-position model. Lineage: Bacteria; Pseudomonadati; Pseudomonadota; Gammaproteobacteria; Oceanospirillales; Halomonadaceae. The record is from RNAcentral.
CCUUCUGGACUGACACUGACACUGAGGUGCGAAAGCGUGGGUAGCAAACAGGAUUAGAUACCCUGGUAGUCCACGCCGUAAACGAUGUCGACUAGCCGUUGGGUCCCUUGAGGACUUUGUGGCGCAGUUAACGCGAUAAGUCGACCGCCUGGGGAGUACGGCCGCAAGGUUAAAACUCAAAUGAAUUGACGGGGGCCCGCACAAGCGGUGGAGCAUGUGGUUUAAUUCGAUGCAACGCGAAGAACCUUACCUACCCUUGACAUCGUGCGAACUUGGUAGAGAUACCUUGGUGCCUUCGGGAGCGCACAGACAGGUGCUGCAUGGCUGUCGUCAGCUCGUGUUGUGAAAUGUUGGGUUAAGUCCCGUAACGAGCGCAACCCUUGUCCCUAUUUGCCAGCGAUUCGGUCGGGAACUCUAGGGAGACUGCCGGUGACAAACCGGAGGAAGGUGGGGACGACGUCAAGUCAUCAUGGCCCUUACGGGUAGGGCUACACACGUGCUACAAUGGCCGGUACAAAGGGUUGCGAAGCCGCGAGGUGGAGCCAAUCCCGAAAAGCCGGUCUCAGUCCGGAUCGGAGUCUGCAACUCGACUCCGUGAAGUCGGAAUCGCUAGUAAUCGUGAAUCAGAAUGUCACGGUGAAUACGUUCCCGGGCCUUGUACACACCGCCCGUCACACCAUGGGAGUGGACUGCAC